GACGAACGCUGGCGGCGUGCUUCAUACAUGCAAGUCGAACGAGAAGCUGACUUCGGUCAGUGGAAAGUGGCGGACGGGUGAGUAAUAUGUAGGAAAUUUGCCUUUAGGAGGGGGACAACAGAGGGAAACUUCUGCUAAUACCCCAUAUGAGCGUAGCUGAAAUGCUAUUCUUGAAAACUCCGGUGCCUAAAGAUGAGCCUGCAUCUGCUUAGCUAGUUGGUAGUGUAAUGGACUACCAAGGCGACGAUCAGUAGCUGGAGUGAGAGGAUGAUCAGCCACAAUGUGAGUGAGGCACGGCCCAUACACCUGCGGGAGGCAGCAGUAGGGAAGUUUGCGCAAUGGGCGAAAGCCUGACGCAGCAACGCCGCGUGAACGAUUAAGCCCUGCGGGGAGUAAAGUUCUGUCAGUAGGGACGGAACUUGACGGUACCCACAGAAGAAGCACCGGCUAACUCCGUG
This 458-nucleotide ribosomal RNA is filed under the name uncultured bacterium. RNAcentral describes it as "partial 16S ribosomal RNA". It matches the Rfam family "Bacterial small subunit ribosomal RNA", at positions 28 to 507 of the family's 1533-position model. The record is from RNAcentral.